AGCCUGCCCACUGAAGUUUUUUAAAUGGCCGCAGUAUACUAACUGUGCAAAGGUAGCAUAAUCAUUAGUCUUUUAAUUGAAGGCUGGUAUGAAUGGUUGGACGAGAUAUUAACUGUUUCAUAAAAAUUUAUAAUAGAAUUUUAUUUUUUAGUCAAAAAGCUAAAAUAUAUUUAAAAGACGAGAAGACCCUAUAAAUCUUUAUAUUUAGAUUAUUAUAAUUUUAUAGAUUUUUUUUGUUAUAAUAAUUGAUAAUAUUUUAUUGGGGUGAUAUUAAAAUUUAAUAAACUUUUAAUUGUUUAAAUCAUUAAUUUAUGAAUAAUUGAUCCGUUAUUAGCGAUUAAAAAAAUAAGUUACUUUAGGGAUAACAGCGUAAUUUUUUUGGAGAGUUCAUAUCGAUAAAAAAGAUUGCGACCUCGAUGUUGGAUUAAGAUAUAAUUUUAGGUGUAGCCGCUUAAAUUUUAAGUCUGUUCGACUUUUAAAUUCUUACAUGAUCUGAGUUCAAACCGGCGUAAGCCAGGUUGGUUUCUAUCUUUAAAAA
Molecule: ribosomal RNA, 538 nt
Filed under: Cochliomyia macellaria (secondary screw-worm)
Lineage: Eukaryota; Metazoa; Arthropoda; Insecta; Diptera; Calliphoridae
Description: partial small subunit ribosomal RNA
Rfam family: Bacterial large subunit ribosomal RNA
Source: RNAcentral